UUAAUCAUAACAUAUAUAUAAAAGUCCAUAUAUUUCAUAGCUUCAGAAUGAGUUACAGAUAACAUUGAUCAUAUAUAGGAAGCACCAUUUAUAAUCAGGGCAAAUUAUUAAAAUAUGAAAACAGCAAACAAAGCACACAAUUUAUUGAUACUCGAUCCGAUCCAGAGGUAGUAACAGUAACCAAGCAAGCAUGCGCAUGUUAGACCCCCUUGAGUGUCCAAUUGACUUUGUGACUUCCAUGACCAUGACCAUGACCAUGAGGCUUAAUCCUGUUGUUAUUAUUGUAUCCAUAUGGAUUAGCAUAGUGAACAUCUCCUCCAUAUGUUCCAUGACGCUCA
RNAcentral lists this long non-coding RNA (338 nucleotides) under Medicago truncatula (barrel medic). Its description in RNAcentral is "long non-coding RNA (MTRU_LNC001000)". Lineage: Eukaryota; Viridiplantae; Streptophyta; Magnoliopsida; Fabales; Fabaceae. The record is from RNAcentral.